GACGAACGCUGGCGGCGUGCUUAACACAUGCAAGUCGAACGGAAAGGCCCUGCUUGCAGGGUACUCGAGUGGCGAACGGGUGAGUAACACGUGGGUGAUCUGCCCUGCACUUCGGGAUAAGCCUGGGAAACUGGGUCUAAUACCGGAUAGGAGCCAUUUUGAGUGUGAUUGUUGGAAAGUUUUUUCGGUGUAGGAUGAGCUCGCGGCCUAUCAGCUUGUUGGUGGGGUAAUGGCCUACCAAGGCGGCGACGGGUAGCCGGCCUGAGAGGGUGGACGGCCAAAUUGGGCCUGAGAUACGGCCCAGACUCCUGCGGGAGGCAGCAGUGGGGAAUAUUGCACAAUGGGCGCAAGCCUGAUGCAGCGAAGCCGCGUGGGGGAUGACGGACCUCGGGUUGUAAACUCCUUUCGCUAGGGACGAAGCUUUUUGUGACGGUACCUAGAUAAGAAGCACCGGCUAACUACGUG
RNAcentral lists this ribosomal RNA (465 nucleotides) under uncultured bacterium. Its description in RNAcentral is "partial 16S ribosomal RNA". It matches the Rfam family "Bacterial small subunit ribosomal RNA", at positions 28 to 507 of the family's 1533-position model. The record is from RNAcentral.